Molecule: long non-coding RNA, 1111 nt
Organism: Cottoperca gobio
Lineage: Eukaryota; Metazoa; Chordata; Actinopteri; Perciformes; Bovichtidae
Exons: 3
Source: RefSeq, a predicted model, not a curated record
CUUGAUGAUAACAUUGUGCCACAGCACAAGCCUCGCAUGUGGAAGAGAUCACUAAUCUACGAGGGACCAUGCCUGCUUAUCAUCAAUCUGCAGAUUCUGCACGAGAAACAAGGAUUCCAUAAACAGACCGGGCAUGUUUUCAAACAGGGCCGUGAUGCUGGAAGCAGUCUGCCAGCUCUGUGAACACCGGGUCAGCAGAGGAGCGAGUCGGAGACAGAGGGGAGAGAAAAACGGAUAGAUGAUGUUUGCUUGGAGCCGCGAGGGAGCUACCCACAGUCUCCAUUGUUGGGAAGUUGGGUGGUAGGAUGAAGACAUGGAGGAUAAAGGGCAAAAGACCAGAGAGUAUACGUCUCUCUGAUGGAGAGUUGCAGCUGCUCUAUUGAAGACAAGGAGCACAGAGAGGUUUGGGACUCUUUGACAGCAGCUGGUAACAGCUUCUUCAGCAGGUGGCUUGACCUAAUUAUCAGGAUAGAGAUGCCAACAGCCUGUUUCCCCCCCUUAUCCAGGAACAUGCGAGAAGCAGGCGCGUAAUAUACGGACGACUGUACAACACUAUUUCUGCCGCCAAUUAUAAUGGGGCACUAAUUGUGCUACAUCCUGAGGAAGAGGAGAAACGAAGGGGAAGAAUACAUGAGGGAGGUGUUAUGAGGCAUUAAAGAAGUUGACUGAGAAUUAACAAGCCAUAGGACUGGAAGAUAAAAAUAAAUCUGAUUUGUAUCACAUUAUGUCAAGUAGGCAAAAUCAUAAUCAAACUGAUGCAAGCUCUAAUGUUAGGGAUGGGGCUCAAUAGCAAUGUAUUUAAUCUGAAUCCAGUAUCAAAUGUACUCAUCAUAUCUGCAUCCUUUAAAAAGUGAGUCUAAUUAGGUUGAGCUUCACAUGUGUAAGUAACUAAAAAACUAGGCCUCAGAUAUUUAACACUAGUUUUUAAUGAUGAUGAUUUUAGUGAAUUAAUGUUCACAACAUGUAGCUACAACCUGUAAGUGAGACCAGCAACGUAACAGACAGUCUAACAAGGUGUUGAUGGAAAUGACACUCUGAACCAACAGAUGGAGCGUACUUACAAUUAAGAUCAUAAACUUUAAUUAUUUUCAUGAUAUGCAUAAACUGGGAU